GAUGAACGCUGGCGGCGUGCCUAAUACAUGCAAGUCGAGCGAACAGACGAGGAGCUUGCUCCUCUGACGUUAGCGGCGGACGGGUGAGUAACACGUGGAUAACCUACCUAUACGACUGGGAUAACUUCGGGACACCGGAGCUAAUACCGGAUAAUAUAUUGAACCGCAUGGUUCAAUAGUGAAAGACGGUUUUGCUGUCACUUAUAGAUGGAUCCGCGCCGCAUUAGCUAGUUGGUAAGGUAACGGCUUACCAAGGCAACGAUGCGUAGCCGACCUGAGAGGGUGAUCGGCCACACUGGAACUGAGAAACCGUCCAGACUCCUACGGGAGGCAGCAGUAGGGAAUCUUCCGCAAUGGGCGAAAUCUUGACGUAGCAAUGCCGGGUCAAUGAUGAAGGUGUUCGGAUCGUAAAACACUGGUAUUAGGGAAGAACAAAUGUGUAAGUAACUGUGCACUUCUUGACGGUACCUAAUCAGAAGGCCACGGCUAACUACGUG
Molecule: ribosomal RNA, 497 nt
Filed under: uncultured bacterium
Lineage: Bacteria
Description: partial 16S ribosomal RNA
Rfam family: Bacterial small subunit ribosomal RNA
Source: RNAcentral